GCCGGGAUAGCUCAGUUGGUAGAACAGGGGACUGAAAAUCC
RNAcentral lists this transfer RNA (41 nucleotides) under Lejeunea deplanata. Its description in RNAcentral is "partial tRNA-Phe". The record is from RNAcentral. Lineage: Eukaryota; Viridiplantae; Streptophyta; Jungermanniopsida; Porellales; Lejeuneaceae.